Molecule: ribosomal RNA, 492 nt
Filed under: uncultured bacterium
Lineage: Bacteria
Description: partial 16S ribosomal RNA
Rfam family: Bacterial small subunit ribosomal RNA
Source: RNAcentral
AGUGAACGCUGGCGGUAGGCCUAACACAUGCAAGUCGAACGGCAGCACAGUAAGAGCUUGCUCUUACGGGUGGCGAGUGGCGGACGGGUGAGGAAUACAUCGGAAUCUACUUUUUCGUGGGGGAUAACGUAGGGAAACUUACGCUAAUACCGCAUACGACCUACGGGUGAAAGCAGGGGAUCUUCGGACCUUGCGCGAUUGAAUGAGCCGAUGUCGGAUUAGCUAGUUGGCGGGGUAAAGGCCCACCAAGGCGACGAUCCGUAGCUGGUCUGAGAGGAUGACCAGCCACACUGGAACUGAGACACGGUCCAGACUCCUACGGGAGGCAGCAGUGGGGAAUAUUGGACAAUGGGCGCAAGCCUGAUCCAGCCAUACCGCGUGGGUGAAGAAGGCCUUCGGGUUGUAAAGCCCUUUUGUUGGGAAAGAAAAGCAGCAGGUUAAUACCCCGCUGUUCUGACGUUACCCAAAGAAUAAGCACCGGCUAACUUCGUG